CAACGGCUCGUGGAGCGGCUACCCGGAGUGACAUCGCCGGUGUUUGCGGGUGGUUGUUGCUCUCGGGGCCGUGUGGAGUAGGUCUGGACCUGGACUCACGGCUGCUUGGAGCGUCCGCCAUGAGGAGAAGUGAGGUGCUGGCGGAGGAGUCCAUAGUAUGUCUGCAGAAAGCGCUAAAUCACCUUCGGGAAAUAUGGGAGCUAAUUGGGAUUCCAGAGGACCAGCGGUUACAAAGAACUGAGGUGGUAAAGAAGCAUAUCAAGGAACUCCUGGAUAUGAUGAUUGCUGAAGAGGAAAGCCUGAAGGAAAGACUCAUCAAAAGCAUAUCCGUCUGUCAGAAAGAGCUGAACACUCUGUGCAGCGAGUUACAUGUUGAGCCAUUUCAGGAAGAAGGAGAGACAACCAUCUUGCAACUAGAAAAAGAUUUGCGCACCCAAGUGGAAUUGAUGCGAAAACAGAAAAAGGAGAGAAAACAGGAACUGAAGCUACUUCAGGAACAAGAUCAAGAACUGUGUGAAAUUCUUUGUAUGCCCCACUAUGAUAUUGACAGUGCCUCAGUGCCCAGCUUAGAAGAGCUGAACCAGUUCAGGCAACAUGUGACAACUUUGAGGGAAACAAAGCUGGAAAUGCAGAAAUUACAAAAUGAAGCAGUGUGUGAGGGGCUGCGUACUCAAAUCCGAGAGCUCUGGGACAGGUUGCAAAUACCUGAAGAAGAAA
This 717-nucleotide small RNA is filed under the name Pongo abelii (Sumatran orangutan). RNAcentral's name for it is "retained intron". The record is from RNAcentral. Lineage: Eukaryota; Metazoa; Chordata; Mammalia; Primates; Hominidae.